GGGUACGCAACGACGUCCAGCCCCCCUAGCUUGACCGGAUUUUUCGCCCCUCGUGGCACCGAGCAGACACUCCACGCGAUUAAGACCCGCAUCCAGUGACCAUGGCGAAAAUGUCCGCUGAACAGCCAGUUACAAUGCGGGACAUGAUGGGGGGUGAUAUCUGAGUCGCCCCAGCUACGACCAACCCUCGAGUCACGCACUCCGCCACCUUUUAUCGGAACAGCACGAAGGGUGCCACCCUGACUACCUAACGUGCAGCCAUUCGAUGUACGGUUGGCGCCAUCUUUCUAGCGGUUUUCACCCGUAAGAGGACGCCCUAAUGCUCGCAAUCAGUAGCGGAACGCCUUUUGGCUCUCGGUGUGUUGGCUAAGAGGUUGUACGUAUUACGUGACAUCAAACAUGACUCAGAGAUUGCGUCGAUGCAUCGGGUGGGAAACGUCGAUUGCAUCACAGUGCAACGGUUUUCUGAAGCGGAUAGUGAUUGUUGAGUUUUACGGUACUAUCGUGUCGUGGUCUUGUUCACGUGUCAAUAAUUAUGUUAGCGUAAGAUAGAGCUCGAUUGACAUAAGGAAUGUAAGCUUGUAUUAAGGAAAACUUAUAGGAGUGCUGUAAUAGUGAUAAAAUAUAUAUUGCAAUACUUGUCGUUGUGACAAGUCACCUUGACGUAUGAAGAGAAAC
Molecule: long non-coding RNA, 678 nt
Filed under: Neodiprion pinetum (white pine sawfly)
Lineage: Eukaryota; Metazoa; Arthropoda; Insecta; Hymenoptera; Diprionidae
Description: uncharacterized LOC124211925
Source: RNAcentral